Long non-coding RNA from Pogoniulus pusillus (Red-fronted tinkerbird), 1697 nucleotides. RefSeq lists it as uncharacterized. The record is from RefSeq and is a predicted model, not a curated record. Lineage: Eukaryota; Metazoa; Chordata; Aves; Piciformes; Lybiidae. The transcript has 2 exons.
GAAAACGAAGCCAAGCCGCGGCUCAGGGCUCAGGCUCCCUCCAGAGGACAGAUUCAGUCACUUCUGCAAAGCCCUGGCAACAGAAACCUGCCCUGAGGGACUCCUGCCGAGCACCAACCCUCCCCGGCUGGGCACAGGCACGUUGCAGACGAGGGGGGUAGGCACAGUUCUCCAAUGUGCAUGCUGCGCACCGUGGUGCCGAUGGGGGGGGGCACCCACGCUCCAAAGCCGUCCCCGCACGACUUGUGGAGUGCAGCGUGCGGGCUGCCCAAAUGCCCUGUUCCAGCAGGCAAGGAAAGCGACUGAAGAAAGGCAGGGAUGCAAGCAGAGGCUACUGACUGGAGAGCUAAAGAGGAUUUCUUUCCGGUUCACAUCUGGACACUGCUGGCUUGAAUGCGCUGCAACAUCACAGCAAGAGGGGAAAAUCAAACCUACCCCCUCAUCAAGGACUCAGCAUCCAGGGGAAAAGAGACCUAGUGCCAAGCAUGUGCUGAGAAGCUGGUUCAGCCCCUCACAGAUGAGAAGAGCCAUGUGCUGGGCUCCCCGGGGCAGAGCCAGCCUGCCCGAAUGCCAGGAUUUCAACAAAAGGUGAUGCUUCUCCCACUCCACAGUGGUAGCACAGAGCAACUUUGUGGCCAAGCAGUGUCCACUUCAGCUAUGCAACCAUCCCAGUUAAAUUUCACUGAGAUACUGCCCAAAACAUCAGUGUGUGCCAGGAUGAGCCUUCUGUUACACAAAUAACCACAGAAGCAGAAAUAACAAAGUCAGCCCCAGCAUUUACCUAUCAGUGCAGGCUCAGCCCAUGCAGCCUGCUCUUGGAUCAGCACUAUAGAUACGUGACAGAGCUAAGAAUAACAGAUUCAUUUUUUCAUGGUAAACUAAGGCAGAUCAGACUCUGAGGGGGUCAGGGAGACACUAAUUAUACCUGCCAGAGGGAAAGCAAAUAACACUUAGAGAGCAUCAAAUCAAAUGCUCCUGUGGCAGUUGUGGGCCCUUGCUCUUACAGAAUGCCUUAAAUUAGUUGCACCAAGGUUCACCAGCUUCUGAGGAAUUUAUUUUAAAGUAAAACUAAUUUCAUCUUAAAACUGAAGAAGUGCUUUUAUACUGGAGUUCUUACAUGAAUAUGACUCUAUUUGUUGUUACUAGUAAUAGCUGUGGUUGUUAAGGUGCAUGGCACCUGCUUGGCCAACAGUGAGUUUCUUACUCAUACAAAUCUCUCCUAGUGCUCAUGCCAGCCCCUGCUGUCAGCCUGCCACCACAGCCUGCCAUUCAGCUGACGGCAGGGCCUCCACAAUCUGUCCUUCCUUCCUUUAGUGCACAGAGCUGGCUGUGCACACAGGCAAACAAAGAGCAUGUGUGCUUAGUCCAGGGCAUCAAGACCAUGCACACAGUAGGAGUCACGACAGCAGACCAUCAGAUGACUGCAGUGCCUUCCUCAAGCAGCCAUGGAUCCAUCCCAAACCAAGGGUUUUGAAAGCAGAACCAAUCUGGGGGCUCACACAGACCAGUGAGCAUAGGGCACUAAGCUGGAUAAGGCUAAUACAAACAGGCAUUACUGCUUCUGUCAAACAAAACUGAAACUCUGCUCUGGUUAUUGAGAAAUUCUAAUGUAAAAUGGACAAUGCUGGGUCUCACAACUCUUAAUAUGCUAAUUUCAUAUUGAUUCCUUCAUAAAUCAAUAAAGUGAAAGGUCCUCA